Molecule: ribosomal RNA, 456 nt
Filed under: Ceratoplana sp. n. JR-2020
Lineage: Eukaryota; Metazoa; Platyhelminthes; Polycladida; Stylochoplanidae
Description: partial large subunit ribosomal RNA
Rfam family: Bacterial large subunit ribosomal RNA
Source: RNAcentral
UUUCCUUUAGAAUAUAUUUAAAGGUAAUACCUGCUCUAUGUUAUUAAUAAAUGGCUGCGGUAUCUUAACUGCACUAAGGUAGCAUAAUUAAUUGUCUUUUAAAUGGUGACUUGUUUGAAUGGUUUUAUGAGAAAAAGACUUUCUCCACCCUAAUAUGAAAUUAUAUUUAAAGGUUAAAAUACCUUAAUAUAAAGGAAAGACGAGAAGACCCUGUUGAGUUUAACAAAUAAAUUAAUUGUUUAAAUGGGAUAUUCGAUUUCAGUAUGGAAUCUAAAAGAUCCUAAAACCUAAAGUUUUAGAAAAAGGAUAAAAUUACCACAGGGAUAACAGGAUAAUACUUAUUGAGAGUCCUAAUCGAAAUAAGUGAUUAUUACCUCGAUGUUGAAUCGAAUAUUACUAAUUGACGCAGCAGUUAAGAUAGUGGGUCUGUUCGACCUUUAAAUAUUCACGUGAUUU